Molecule: long non-coding RNA, 266 nt
Filed under: Phoenix dactylifera (date palm)
Lineage: Eukaryota; Viridiplantae; Streptophyta; Magnoliopsida; Arecales; Arecaceae
Description: long non-coding RNA (PDAC_LNC009639)
Source: RNAcentral
CAGGCACAGCUCGGCUGCAGAGAACCUCGGCUCGGACAAGCUCGGCUGCAGAGAACCUCGGCUCGGACAAGCACAGGCCCAACGAGCACAAGAGAACCGAGCUCGGCUCGGACAAGGAGGGAACAUCCCAACGAGCACAAGAAAACCAAGCUUUACGUAAUAGAAAUAAAAAGGAGGGAAUGGGAAUCGAAAUAAAAAGGAGGGAAUGGGAAUCGAACCUGUUAUCUCAUCCCCACCCAAACAACACACCAACCACCAAGCCAAAC